This 63-nucleotide transfer RNA is filed under the name Didymoglossum sublimbatum. RNAcentral's name for it is "partial tRNA-Leu". The record is from RNAcentral. Lineage: Eukaryota; Viridiplantae; Streptophyta; Polypodiopsida; Hymenophyllales; Hymenophyllaceae.
AUUCAUAAUCGGGUGCAAAAAGAAAAUAGAAGAAGCAUAGAGGUUCAAAUCCUCUUCGAGGCA